RNAcentral lists this ribosomal RNA (416 nucleotides) under uncultured Nitrobacter sp. RNAcentral's name for it is "bacterial SSU rRNA". It matches the Rfam family "Bacterial small subunit ribosomal RNA", at positions 349 to 782 of the family's 1533-position model. The record is from RNAcentral. Lineage: Bacteria; Pseudomonadati; Pseudomonadota; Alphaproteobacteria; Hyphomicrobiales; Nitrobacteraceae.
CAGCAGUGGGGAAUAUUGGACAAUGGGCGCAAGCCUGAUCCAGCCAUGCCGCGUGAGUGAUGAAGGCCCUAGGGUUGUAAAGCUCUUUUGUGCGGGAAGAUAAUGACGGUACCGCAAGAAUAAGCCCCGGCUAACUUCGUGCCAGCAGCCGCGGUAAUACGAAGGGGGCUAGCGUUGCUCGGAAUUACUGGGCGUAAAGGGUGCGUAGGCGGGUCUUUAAGUCAGAGGUGAAAUCCUGGAGCUCAACUCCAGAACUGCCUUUGAUACUGAGGAUCUUGAGUUCGGGAGAGGUGAGUGGAACUGCGAGUGUAGAGGUGAAAUUCGUAGAUAUUCGCAAGAACACCAGUGGCGAAGGCGGCUCACUGGCCCGAUACUGACGCUGAGGCACGAAAGCGUGGGGAGCAAACAGGAUUAGA